Molecule: long non-coding RNA, 896 nt
Filed under: Mytilus galloprovincialis (Mediterranean mussel)
Lineage: Eukaryota; Metazoa; Mollusca; Bivalvia; Mytilida; Mytilidae
Source: RNAcentral
GAAACUACCAGGCCAAAUUUAAACAAACUUGGCCGCAAUCAUCAUUGGGGUAUCUAGUUUAAAAAUUGUGUGGCGUGACCCGGCCAACCAACAAAGAUGGCCGCCAUGGCUAAAAAUAGAACAUAGGGGUAAAAUGCAGUUUUUUGCUUAUAACUCAAAAACCAAAGCAUUUACAGCAAAUCUAACAGGGAGUAAAAUUGUUAAUCAGGUCAAGAUCUAUUUGCCAUGAAAUUUUCAGAUGGAUUGGACAAACUGCUGUUAGGUUGCUGCCCCUGAAUUAGUCAUUUUAAGGAAAUUUUGCCGUUUUUUGUUAUUAUCUUGAAUAUUAUUAUAGAUAGAGAUAAACUGUAAAGGGAAACAAUGUACAGCAAAGUAACACCUAAAAAUAAGUCAACAUGACCUAAAUGUUCAAUUGACCCCAUAAGGAGUUAUUGCCCUUUAUAGUCAAUUUUUAACAAUUUUCAUAAAAUUUGUAAAUUUUAACUAACAUUUUCCACUGAAGCUCUUAGGCCAAGUUCAAUAAAGAUAGAAUGAUUGUAAGCAGCAAUAAUGUUCAGUAAAGUAAGAUAUACAAACACAUCACCAUCACCAAAACACAAUUUUGUCAUGAAUUCAAAUGCGUCCUUUGUUUAACAUUCACAUAGACCAAGGUGAGCGACACAGGCUCUUUGGAGCCUCUAGUUCACUGUUGUUUCGUUGCUGUCUGGUGGACAAAUACAUGAAUUCUGCAUGUCAUCAUUAAACACGUGAAUAGCUAUAUAUCUGGUAAAUCAAACACUUUUUCUUCGCAUAGAAAGAACUCUUCAUUAAUCUGAGCAUGGAACGAAUACUUUAUAUCACGAACUAUAAAUGUGGAUACAAAAAAAUGAAAAACUAAGCUAAAUUGUUAAUCCCGC